This 466-nucleotide ribosomal RNA is filed under the name uncultured bacterium. RNAcentral describes it as "partial 16S ribosomal RNA". It matches the Rfam family "Bacterial small subunit ribosomal RNA", at positions 28 to 507 of the family's 1533-position model. The record is from RNAcentral.
GAUGAACGCUGGCGGCGUGCUUAACACAUGCAAGUCGAACGAUGAAGCUCAGCUUGCUGGGUGGAUUAGUGGCGAACGGGUGAGUAACACGUGAGUAACCUGCCCUUAACUCUGGGAUAAUCCUGGGAAACUAGGUCUAAUACCGGAUAGGAGCGCCUACCGCAUGGUGGGUGUUGGAAAGUGUUUUCGGUUUUGGAUGGACUCGCGGCCUCUCAGCUUGUUGGGGAGGUCUUGGCUGUCCAAGGCGACGACGGGUAGCCGGCCUGGGAGGGUGACCGGCCACACGGAGACUGCGACAAUGCCCACACCCAUACGGGAAUCAGCAGUGGGGAAUAUUGCAGAAUGGGAGGAGGCGUAAUGUAGCGACGCGGCGUCGGGGAGACCGGUCUUCGGGUUGUAAGCCACUUUCAGUAGGAAAGAAGCGAAAGUGACAGUACCUGCAGAAGUAGUACCGGCUAACUACGUG